RNAcentral lists this ribosomal RNA (518 nucleotides) under uncultured organism. Its description in RNAcentral is "bacterial SSU rRNA". It matches the Rfam family "Bacterial small subunit ribosomal RNA", at positions 28 to 507 of the family's 1533-position model. The record is from RNAcentral.
GACGAACGCUGGCGGCGUGCCUAACACAUGCAAGUCGAGCGGUUCAGAGGCCGGAGACCAGAGACCAGAAACCGGAAUUCAUCUGGCUUCUGGCAUCUGGUAUCUGGCCUCUGAAUAGCGGCGAACGGGUGAGUAACGCGUGGGUAACCUGCCUCAUACAGGGGGAUAACACCGGGAAACCGGUGCUAAUACCGCAUAAAGUUACGUCAGGGCAUCCUGAGGUAACCAAAGGAGUAAAAUCCGGUAUGAGAUGGGCCCGCGUCCGAUUAGCUAGUUGGUAGGGUAAUGGCCUACCAAGGCGACGAUCGGUAGCCGAACUGAGAGGUUGAUCGGCCACAUUGGGACUGAGACACGGCCCAGACUCCUACGGGAGGCAGCAGUGGGGAAUAUUGCGCAAUGGGGGAAACCCUGACGCAGCGACGCCGCGUGAAGGAAGAAGGCCUUCGGGUUGUAAACUUCUUUGAUGAGGGACGAAGGAAGUGACGGUACCUCAAGAACAAGCCACGGCUAACUACGUG